CUCCUACGGGGAGGCAGCAGUGGGGAAUAUUGCACAAUGGGCGAAAGCCUGAUGCAGCCAUGCCGCGUGUAUGAAGAAGGCCUUCGGGUUGUAAAGUACUUUCAGUUGUGAGGAAGGGUGUGUAGUUAAUAGCUGCGCAUCUUGACGUUAGCAACAGAAGAAGCACCGGCUAACUCCGUGCCAGCAGCCGCGGUAAUACGGAGGGUGCGAGCGUUAAUCGGAAUUACUGGGCGUAAAGCGCAUGCAGGUGGUUCAUUAAGUCAGAUGUGAAAGCCCGGGGCUCAACCUCGGAACUGCAUUUGAAACUGGUGAACUAGAGUACUGUAGAGGGGGGUAGAAUUUCAGGUGUAGCGGUGAAAUGCGUAGAGAUCUGAAGGAAUACCAGUGGCGAAGGCGGCCCCCUGGACAGAUACUGACACUCAGAUGCGAAAGCGUGGGGAGCAAACAGGAUUAGAUACCCUGGUAGUCCACGCCGUAAACGAUGUCUACUUGGAGGUUGUGGCCUUGAGCCGUGGCUGUCGGAGCU
This 526-nucleotide ribosomal RNA is filed under the name uncultured bacterium. RNAcentral's name for it is "bacterial SSU rRNA". It matches the Rfam family "Bacterial small subunit ribosomal RNA", at positions 336 to 853 of the family's 1533-position model. The record is from RNAcentral.